Molecule: ribosomal RNA, 1391 nt
Filed under: Streptomyces baarnensis
Lineage: Bacteria; Bacillati; Actinomycetota; Actinomycetes; Kitasatosporales; Streptomycetaceae
Description: bacterial LSU rRNA
Rfam family: Bacterial large subunit ribosomal RNA
Source: RNAcentral
UGAGACCUGAUGCCGAGCCGAUUGUGGUGAAGUGGAUGAUCCUAUGCUGUCGAGAAAAGCCUCUAGCGAGUUUCAUGGCGGCCCGUACCCUAAACCGACUCAGGUGGUCAGGUAGAGAAUACCGAGGCGUUCGGGUGAACUAUGGUUAAGGAACUCGGCAAAAUGCCCCCGUAACUUCGGGAGAAGGGGGGCCAUCACCGGUGAUAGCACUUGCUGCUUGAGCUGGGGGUGGCCGCAGAGACCAGCGAGAAGCGACUGUUUACUAAAAACACAGGUCCGUGCGAAGCCGUAAGGCGAUGUAUACGGACUGACGCCUGCCCGGUGCUGGAACGUUAAGGGGACCGGUUAGCUGACUUUCGGGUUGGCGAAGCUGAGAACUUAAGCGCCAGUAAACGGCGGUGGUAACUAUAACCAUCCUAAGGUAGCGAAAUUCCUUGUCGGGUAAGUUCCGACCUGCACGAAUGGCGUAACGACUUCUCGACUGUCUCAACCAUAGGCCCGGUGAAAUUGCACUACGAGUAAAGAUGCUCGUUUCGCGCAGCAGGACGGAAAGACCCCGGGACCUUUACUAUAGUUUGAUAUUGGUGUUCGGUUCGGCUUGUGUAGGAUAGGUGGGAGACUUUGAAGCGGCCACGCCAGUGGUUGUGGAGUCGUCGUUGAAAUACCACUCUGGUCGUGCUGGAUGUCUAACCUGGGUCCGUGAUCCGGAUCAGGGACAGUGUCUGAUGGGUAGUUUAACUGGGGCGGUUGCCUCCUAAAGAGUAACGGAGGCGCCCAAAGGUUCCCUCAGCCUGGUUGGUAAUCAGGUGUUGAGUGUAAGUGCACAAGGGAGCUUGACUGUGAGACCGACGGGUCGAGCAGGGACGAAAGUCGGGACUAGUGAUCCGGCAGUGGCUUGUGGAAGCGCUGUCGCUCAACGGAUAAAAGGUACCCCGGGGAUAACAGGCUGAUCUUCCCCAAGAGUCCAUAUCGACGGGAUGGUUUGGCACCUCGAUGUCGGCUCGUCGCAUCCUGGGGCUGGAGUCGGUCCCAAGGGUUGGGCUGUUCGCCCAUUAAAGCGGUACGCGAGCUGGGUUUAGAACGUCGUGAGACAGUUCGGUCCCUAUCCGCUGUGCGCGUAGGAAUAUUGAGAAGGGCUGUCCCUAGUACGAGAGGACCGGGACGGACGAACCUCUGGUGUGCCAGUUGUCCUGCCAAGGGCAUGGCUGGUUGGCUACGUUCGGAAAGGAUAACCGCUGAAAGCAUCUAAGCGGGAAGCCUGCUUCGAGAUGAGUAUUCCCACCCCCUUUGAGGGGUUAAGGCUCCCAGUAGACGACUGGGUUGAUAGGCCAGAUGUGGAAGCCCGGUAACGGGUGGAGCUGACUGGUACUAAUAGGCCGAGGGCUUGUCCU